Molecule: long non-coding RNA, 559 nt
Filed under: Mus spicilegus (steppe mouse)
Lineage: Eukaryota; Metazoa; Chordata; Mammalia; Rodentia; Muridae
Description: lncRNA (ENSMSIG00000018591.1)
Source: RNAcentral
GAUUUACUGAUGGAAGUACAUGACUGGGAACUGGACUUUGGAGGUUCUAUCUGCCUCUGGUUCUAGUCCCUUAUGUCAGGUCUACCUCACAACAAGGAAUGUAGCGAAUGCAGUAACUCUAGCUCAAGGAUUUGGGUCUCAGACUAAAGAAAACCUGCCAAUGCGAAAUGAUUCUCAUCCGCUGAAGAUUCUGAGUAAGUCUGGUUGGAAACCUAGGUAGGUGUCCAAUGCCCGACCUGCACAACCCCAGCUACGGAUGUGGACCAACACAGAACUGUGACCUUAGCUGAAAUCUGACUUUUGUUUGUUUCUGUAGCUCCGUUGCAUGAUUCCCCAGCGUGAGCCUUGCAGAUGACAGUGUUGUGUUGCAGUGACACAAAGGUAUUAAAACUACCUCAACCCUGGGCUCGGAGCUGCAGGCCAACAGAGGGAAGCAGAGGCCUUUGCUUGGUGACUGAGAGACAUUGCAGAUGCUUCUGGCAGAUGUCUGGGAACAGAGGCUUUCAGAGAGAUGCUGGGUGCUCAGAGAGUGCUGACGCGGGGAAGCCUCUGAAGAAAC